UACGUAGGUGGCAAGCGUUAUCCGGAUUUAUUGGGCGUAAAGAGUGCGCAGGCGGGCUUGUAAGUCAGAUGUGAAAUCCUGUAGCUUAACUACAGAACUGCAUUUGAAACUAUGAGUCUAGAGUGUGGGAGAGGUAGGUGGAAUUCUUGGUGUAGGGGUAAAAUCCGUAGAUAUCAAGAGGAAUACUCAUUGCGAAGGCGACCUACUGGAACAUUACUGACGCUCAUGCACGAAAGCGUGGGGAGCAAACAGG
This 253-nucleotide ribosomal RNA is filed under the name uncultured Helicobacter sp. RNAcentral describes it as "partial 16S ribosomal RNA". It matches the Rfam family "Bacterial small subunit ribosomal RNA", at positions 524 to 776 of the family's 1533-position model. The record is from RNAcentral. Lineage: Bacteria; Pseudomonadati; Campylobacterota; Epsilonproteobacteria; Campylobacterales; Helicobacteraceae.